This 523-nucleotide ribosomal RNA is filed under the name uncultured bacterium. RNAcentral's name for it is "bacterial SSU rRNA". It matches the Rfam family "Bacterial small subunit ribosomal RNA", at positions 8 to 526 of the family's 1533-position model. The record is from RNAcentral.
AGAGUUUGAUCAUGGCUCAGAUUGAACGCUGGCGGCAUGCCUUACACAUGCAAGUCGGACGGCAGCGCGGGGGCAACCCUGGCGGCGAGUGGCGAACGGGUGAGUAAUACAUCGGAACGUGUCCUGGAGUGGGGGAUAGCCCGGCGAAAGCCGGAUUAAUACCGCAUACGCUCUAUGGAGGAAAGCGGGGGAUCUUCGGACCUCGCGCUCAAGGGGCGGCCGAUGGCAGAUUAGCUAGUUGGUGAGGUAAUGGCUCACCAAGGCGACGAUCCCUAGCUGGUCUGAGAGGAUGAUCAGCCACACUGGGACUGAGACACGGCCCAGACUCCUACGGGAGGCAGCAGUGGGGAAUAUUGCACAAUGGGCGCAAGCCUGAUGCAGCCAUGCCGCGUGUAUGAAGAAGGCCUUAGGGUUGUAAAGUACUUUUGUCCGGAAAGAAAACCUCCGUCCUAAUACGGUGGGGGGAUGACGGUACCGGAAGAAUAAGCACCGGCUAACUACGUGCCAGCCGCCGCGGUAAUAC